Molecule: ribosomal RNA, 513 nt
Filed under: uncultured Saccharomyces
Lineage: Eukaryota; Fungi; Ascomycota; Saccharomycetes; Saccharomycetales; Saccharomycetaceae
Description: eukaryotic LSU rRNA
Rfam family: Eukaryotic large subunit ribosomal RNA
Source: RNAcentral
AAACCAACAGGGAUUGCCUCAGUAACGGCGAGUGAAGCGGCAAAAGCUCAAAUUUGAAAUCUGGUACCUUCGGUGCCCGAGUUGUAAUUUGGAGAGGGCAACUUUGGGGCCGUUCCUUGUCUAUGUUCCUUGGAACAGGACGUCAUAGAGGGUGAGAAUCCCGUGUGGCGAGGAGUGCGGUUCUUUGUAAAGUGCCUUCGAAGAGUCGAGUUGUUUGGGAAUGCAGCUCUAAGUGGGUGGUAAAUUCCAUCUAAAGCUAAAUAUUGGCGAGAGACCGAUAGCGAACAAGUACAGUGAUGGAAAGAUGAAAAGAACUUUGAAAAGAGAGUGAAAAAGUACGUGAAAUUGUUGAAAGGGAAGGGCAUUUGAUCAGACAUGGUGUUUUGUGCCCUCUGCUCCUUGUGGGUAGGGGAAUCUCGCAUUUCACUGGGCCAGCAUCAGUUUUGGUGGCAGGAUAAAUCCAUAGGAAUGUAGCUUGCCUCGGUAAGUAUUAUAGCCUGUGGGAAUACUGCC